GAUGAACGCUAGCUACAGGCUUAACACAUGCAAGUCGAGGGGAAACGGCAUCGAAAGCUUGCUUUUGAUGGGCGUCGACCGGCGCACGGGGGAGUAACGCGUAGCCAACCUGCCCAUCACUUGGGAAUAACCUUGCGAAAGUAAGACUAAUGCCCAAUUACAUCCGACGAAGGCAUCCGAAUGGGAUUAGCGAGUUAUCGGUGAUGGAGGGGGAUGCGUCUGAUUAGCUUGUUGGCGGGGUGACGGCCCACCAAGGCAACGAUCAGUAGAGGUUCUGAGAGGAAGGUACCCCACAUUGGAACUGAGACACGGACCAAACUCCUACGGGAGGCAGCAGUGAGGAACAUUGGUCAAUGGUGGAGAGCCUUAACCAGCCAAGUAGAGUGCAGGAUGACGGCGCUAUGGGUUGUAAACUGCUUUUAUAAGGGAAAAAAGUGGGUAACGUGUAACUUUUUGAAGGUACCUUAUGAAUAAGGACCGGCUAACUUCGUG
Molecule: ribosomal RNA, 492 nt
Filed under: uncultured bacterium
Lineage: Bacteria
Description: partial 16S ribosomal RNA
Rfam family: Bacterial small subunit ribosomal RNA
Source: RNAcentral